Microscilla marina ATCC 23134 is the source of this 37-nucleotide non-coding RNA. The record is from Rfam. NCBI's taxonomy places the organism in Bacteria, Pseudomonadati, Bacteroidota, Cytophagia, Cytophagales, Microscillaceae.
GUAAUAGAUCAACAUCCACUAAAACAAGGAUUGAAAC